RNAcentral lists this ribosomal RNA (476 nucleotides) under uncultured bacterium. Its description in RNAcentral is "partial 16S ribosomal RNA". It matches the Rfam family "Bacterial small subunit ribosomal RNA", at positions 28 to 507 of the family's 1533-position model. The record is from RNAcentral.
GAUAAACGCUGGCGGCGUGCAUAACACAUGCAAGUCGAACGAUGAAGAUUAAAAGAUUUCUUCGGAAUGAACUUAAUUGGAUUAGUGGCGGACGGGUGAGUAACGCGUGAGUAACCUGCCUUGUACAAGGGGAUAGCCGUUGGAAACGACGAAUAAUACCCUAUGACAUCAAAUAAUCGCAUGAUAAUUUGAUCAAAGAUUUAUCGGUAUAAGAUGGACUCGCGUCUGAUUAGCUGUUGGUAGAGUAAAAGCCUACCAAGGCAACGAUCAGUGGCCGGCUUGAGAGAGUGUACGGCCACAUUGGGACUGAGACACGGCCCAGACUCCUACGGGAGGCAGCAGUGGGGAAUUUUGCACAAUGGGGGAAACCCUGAUGCAGCGACGCCGCGUGAUUUAGAAGGCCUUCGGGUUGUAAAAAUCUUUUGUAUGGGAAGAAAAUGACAGUACCAUACGAAUAAGGACCGGCUAAUUACGUG